UGGGGAAUCUUGGACAAUGGGGGCAACCCUGAUCCAGCCAUGCCGCGUGAGUGAUGAAGGCCUUAGGGUCGUAAAGCUCUUUCGCCUGUGAAGAUAAUGACGGUAGCAGGUAAAGAAACCCCGGCUAACUCCGUGCCAGCAGCCGCGGUAAUACGGAGGGGGUUAGCGUUGUUCGGAAUUACUGGGCGUAAAGCGCACGUAGGCGGACCAGAAAGUUGGGGGUGAAAUCCCGGGGGCUCAACCCCGGAACUGCCUCCAAAACUAUUGGUCUAGAGUUCGAGAGAGGUGAGUGGAAUUCCAAGUGUAGAGGUGAAAAUUCGUAGAUAUUUGGAGGAACACCAGUGGCGAAGGCGGCUCACUGGCUCGAUACUGACGCUGAGGUGCGAAAAGUGUGGGGAGCAAAACAGGAUUAGAUACCCUGGGUAGUCCACACCGUAAAACGAUGGGGUGCUAGGUGUUGGGUAGCUUGCUAUUCAGUGCCGAAGCUAACGCGUUAAGCACCCCGCCUGGGGAGUACGUCGCAAGAUUAAAACUCAAAAUGAAUUGAC
RNAcentral lists this ribosomal RNA (548 nucleotides) under uncultured bacterium. RNAcentral's name for it is "bacterial SSU rRNA". It matches the Rfam family "Bacterial small subunit ribosomal RNA", at positions 355 to 914 of the family's 1533-position model. The record is from RNAcentral.